CAGUCAUUAAAAAUCAGAUUAAUGUAACUAUUUGAAAGAUAAUUGAUUUGUGUAGUUUUUAAAAGUUGGCAUGUAGCAGUGACUUGACAAACAUUUUCAAAAAGAAUGAACAUUUUGAAAUCAUGCAUUUUAUCCCACUUCUUGCAACAUCUAGACUUCAAUAAACUUUGGCUUUUGCUACUCUAAACUUUAUUUUGUAGCAAUUUCAUGUACUGUCGCCUGCAUUUUGUCAUCUUGACUUCCCUAACUUGUAACUAGUUAUUUUUAAUUUAGAUAUGAAAAUGUCUUUUCUACGUCGAUGCGGAUGGGCAAUAAAGGUGCGAUCAUACAUUUCACAGCGCCAGAGCUUAAGGCAGAUAUUGUUUCCUUUUCAGCAGUGGUAGGUUUUAACUAUAUUCAGGAGGCUGUUUCUAUUAUUCCUAGUAAUUUCUUAAAUUCUUGUAUCAUCAUCGUGUCAAAAUAUUCAUUGUUCCAUGCCUCCAAAAAUUGAUACUGCGAUCUGUGCAAGUUGCACCAUGGACCAUAUUCUAUAUUUGCAUGCAUGUCCGUCCAUCUCGAAUGACCGAAUUGAUUUCAGUCCCUAUAGUGCAUCCGUGCGAACUUUUUCAACUCUUAUGUUCGUAAUAUAUUAUAUCACUUCAUAUGUGUAUCGCUGAAGAACAUUAUUAUAGAAGGCAGGUAAAGUAGCUGGAGAUACUGACAUUGAUGUUUAUUUAAAAGUUAGCUAUAGGUUCCAUUCUUUCAGUAAAAAAAGAAGAAGCUAGGUUCUUCCAGUUCCAUGACAGGAUGUUUGUUUUUUGCUUAUUGACUUGAUACGAGAGGAUGGAGGUGU
RNAcentral lists this long non-coding RNA (832 nucleotides) under Phoenix dactylifera (date palm). RNAcentral's name for it is "long non-coding RNA (PDAC_LNC017787)". The record is from RNAcentral. Lineage: Eukaryota; Viridiplantae; Streptophyta; Magnoliopsida; Arecales; Arecaceae.